AACCCGGGCGUCUGCGGACAGCUGUACCUGUAACUCUGAUCAACAGUCUUUGCGGCAAGACGAGCUUUCCAGACUGGGAAGGCUGAGUUUCUGAAACCAUAGAAGAGGAAUCACCAAAAUAAUGAGGACAGCUGGUCAGUGCUGUAAAGGAAGCUCAGCAGGUGGCCUGUUCCUGCAGGAAACUUCAGUUGCAGCAAGGCAGGAGACUUCUACCUAGGUCAGAGGAAGAUCUGCUGGCUGUAGCAAACAAAUAAGAGAGUCUCUCCCAGGAGAGCAAGCAGCACAGAGCCACCCACAACAUGCCAUGUCUGCCUGCCUGUCACCAUGUGUCCUGCCAUGCUGAUGAUAGACUACAUCUCUGACACUCUGUGAAGGACAUCUGGAAACAACAAUCACAUCUUCUUCAAUCGAUCCACUUUCCGAUCUUUGAAAAUACUUUAGAGCCUCCAGUUAAAGUGUAAACUUCCCAGCUAAGUGAAGGUGAAGAUCUUGUCAUUUCUAACACUUGUAUAAAGAGAUGAUUCAAACCCAAGUGAGUAGUCAAAAUUAUACACUGUCAAAUAAUUUAUAACUAGAAGCUCCCCUGUUUAUUUGUUCUUGGUGCCCUAAGAUAUGAGAACACAUCUAUAGUAUAAGCCAAUGGUCCCAUCUCUAGUUUAUAAAGUGACUGAAUUUUCAGAUAGGUGCAUGCCUUUAAUCCUAGCACUCAGGAGGGAAAGGGUGGCAGAUCUCUAUGAGUUUGAGGCCAGCCUGAUAUACAUAGCAAGACUUUUUCAACAAAGAGAGGAGGAGGAGGAGGAAGAACAUCAACAAGAAGAACGAGGAGGAGAAGAAGAAAGAUAGAUGCAAAGAAAGCGAGAGAGGCAAUCUGAAUCUUCAUCUUGUCUAGCAGAGCCAAUGAUGGUAAUAACGGAUGGGACCGUGAGAAAUCAGUGUUCCAUUUUGUGCCCCCACUCUCUU
Long non-coding RNA from Apodemus sylvaticus (European woodmouse), 960 nucleotides. RefSeq lists it as uncharacterized. The record is from RefSeq and is a predicted model, not a curated record. Lineage: Eukaryota; Metazoa; Chordata; Mammalia; Rodentia; Muridae. The transcript is spliced from 4 exons.